UACCAUGCAGUCGAGCGGAUGAUGGAGCUUGCUCCAUGAUUCAUCGGCGGACGGGUGAGUAAUGCCUAGGAAUCUGCCUGGUAGUGGGGGACAACGUUUCGAAAGGAACGCUAAUACCGCAUACGUCCUACGGGAGAAAGUGGGGGAUCUUCGGACCUCACGCUAUCACAUGAGCCUAGGUCGGAUUACCUAGUUGGUGAGGUAAAGGCUCACCAAGGCGACGAUCCGUAACUGGUCUGAGAGGAUGAUCAGUCACACUGGAACUGAAACACGGUCCAGACUCCUACGGGAGGCAGCAGUGGGGAAUAUUGGACAAUGGGCGAAAGCCUGAUCCAGCCAUGCCGCGUGUGUGAAGAAGGUCUUCGGAUUGUAAAGCACUUUAAGUUGGGAGGAAGGGCAGUAAGUUAAUACCUUGCUGUUUUGACGUUACCAACAGAAUAAGCACCGGCUAACUUCGUGCCAGCAGCCGCGGUAAUACGAAGGGUGCAAGCGUUAAUCGGAAUUACUGGGCGUAAAGCGCGCGUAUGUGGUUCGUUAAGUUGGAUGUGAAAGCCCCGGGCUCAACCUGGGAACUGCAUCCUAAACUGGUUAUCUAUAUUAUGGCAGAGGUUGUUGGAAUUUCCUGUGUAUCUGUGACAUUC
This 641-nucleotide ribosomal RNA is filed under the name Stutzerimonas stutzeri. RNAcentral's name for it is "bacterial SSU rRNA". It matches the Rfam family "Bacterial small subunit ribosomal RNA", at positions 52 to 689 of the family's 1533-position model. Lineage: Bacteria; Pseudomonadati; Pseudomonadota; Gammaproteobacteria; Pseudomonadales; Pseudomonadaceae. The record is from RNAcentral.